Molecule: long non-coding RNA, 294 nt
Filed under: Elaeis guineensis (African oil palm)
Lineage: Eukaryota; Viridiplantae; Streptophyta; Magnoliopsida; Arecales; Arecaceae
Description: long non-coding RNA (EGUI_LNC075063)
Source: RNAcentral
AUUCACAACACUAGAAGGUUCACAAAGCAAAAAUGAGAGCAUUCCAUCAAAUUCUUGUCGGGGAGACCAUUCAACGUUACCAAGCGGCGAGUCCCGGGGCGCUUUUGUGUGGAUCCCACCGUGUAUAUUGUAUUGGGCCCCACCCGGGUGAGCUACCCAAGUUGUUCUUCUUCUUAGGACAUGGCAGGGGACAGGUCCUAAAGCUAAAGCAAGAGGUUGAUAGGUAACCAAGACCCACUAUGCGUAUAACAGCGACAACCACAAACCAUAGACACAGGGGAAAGAUGAUCAACU